This 451-nucleotide ribosomal RNA is filed under the name Alteromonas sp. CC77. RNAcentral's name for it is "bacterial SSU rRNA". It matches the Rfam family "Bacterial small subunit ribosomal RNA", at positions 18 to 475 of the family's 1533-position model. The record is from RNAcentral. Lineage: Bacteria; Pseudomonadati; Pseudomonadota; Gammaproteobacteria; Alteromonadales; Alteromonadaceae.
CCUGGCUCAGAUUGAACGCUGGCGGCAGGCCUAACACAUGCAAGUCGAACGGUAACAUUUCUAGCUUGCUAGAAGAUGACGAGUGGCGGACGGGUGAGUAAUGCUUGGGAACUUGCCUUUGCGAGGGGGAUAACAGUUGGAAACGACUGCUAAUACCGCAUAAUGUCUUCGGACCAAACGGGGCUUAGGCUCCGGCGCAAAGAGAGGCCCAAGUGAGAUUAGCUAGUUGGUAAGGUAACGGCUUACCAAGGCGACGAUCUCUAGCUGUUCUGAGAGGAAGAUCAGCCACACUGGGACUGAGACACGGCCCAGACUCCUACGGGAGGCAGCAGUGGGGAAUAUUGCACAAUGGGGGAAACCCUGAUGCAGCCAUGCCGCGUGUGUGAAGAAGGCCUUCGGGUUGUAAAGCACUUUCAGUUGUGAGGAAAAGUUAGUAGUUAAUACCUGCUAG